GAAGGGACAUAGCUCAGUGGGGGAGCCUCUGCUUUAAGUGCAAAAGGUCCUGGGCUCGAUCCCUGGCAUUUCA
Non-coding RNA from Podarcis lilfordi (Lilford's wall lizard), 73 nucleotides. Lineage: Eukaryota; Metazoa; Chordata; Lepidosauria; Squamata; Lacertidae. The record is from the annotation of a GenBank genome assembly.